GUGCAUGGACACACAUAGAUAUGCAUAUAUAUUCUUGUAGUUAAGUGUUUUUGUUUCAUGUUGGGGGAUUCUGCUCAUUGUAUGUUGAAUCUUCAGAAAGAUCACAUGAUUGCUUUGGAUGUGAUGCAAAUACUGAUUUAUAGGUAUUUGGUGCAGGCUAAGUGCCAAUUAUAAUACACUCUCGAGCUUUGGUUGAUCGUAUUGUGGUUGAUAAACCUAACUUGUAGGGCUGGGAUAAAGUAUCUGCUGAAGUUACUUGUCCGUUACACUUCUUCCCUUUUUUUUUCUUUUAACAAGCAGCAUUUUAUUGCCUUGUUUGAGGGUAAGCCUUGGCACAAUGGUGACCUGGUUGUCAUAGAUUUCAAAAUACAAAAACAACCUCUUUGCUUGUGAGGGCAAGGCUAUGUACAUUUGACCCUCUCCAGACCUCGUAGUGAUAGGAGCCUCGCACACUAGGCUGCCUUGUGUUCUAUCCCCUUGUUUUAGGGACUUUCCACCUCAAUGCUGCCUAUUUGCCAAUUUCCACUCUUCUGGUGUUUAUGCUAGUGGCUAUCGUAUAUGACAUCAUCUAAAUUGCUAAUUUCAAUCACUCUAGGUCGCUUCUUGUUUUCUUACCUUGUUGAAUGAAUCAAAUUAGUUGUUCUGUUGCAUCAACUUAGUACUGAGUUAUUUAAAUGCUUGGGUUAACUGUCUACUAUUUUCUAGGACCAAUGUUCUGUAUUUCUGUAUCUCUACUUGCUCAUACCUUCAGCUACCUCUUCUGGGAUAGCAGCUCAUCUGUGUAGCAUGGCAGGGAGACGAAGUGUGAGUUAAUGAGUAGCUUGAUCUGCUUUUAAAUUCUUUGACUUACUAGCUGCGAGAGAUUUAUUGAUUAGCAUUUAGAAAUUUGAUUAAAUUUGGUCAUCACCUUAUUUUUGAAAUUUCACCAUUUUUCAUUUAUCCACUUUAUCUUAUGUCCUGAUAUUUGGUAAUUUUCCAUCAGGUGCCAUUGUGAGAGGUUCAAGAAGGGUGAGAUUGUUAAAUAAAUUUGUAGAAAAUAAAUGUGAAUAUAGACCAACCGCUUGAACCAAGAUUUUUCAUACCGUGCCGAAUCGGCUGAUACACCCUGUAUCGUACCGGACUGGCGGAAAACCAGCAUGAUUCGGUCGAUAAAUUCGGUGCACCGACGGUACGGAGGGAAAAAAGAGAAAAAGUGAGAGAGAGAGGAGAGAGGGAGGUGGGAGCCGUCGGAGGCCGAUGGUGGCCAGCUGUGACUGUCGGAGAGCUUCCGAGCCCUGUAUCACCCGAUAGGACUUUCAAGAGAGCAAGAGAGAGCGCUUGGGGGAGGACCUACCGGAUGGACGGCGCCUCUGUCCUCAAUGGCCGGCGAGCCAACACUGACGGCCUGAGGGCGGUCGAGCGGGCGGAGCCGCGAAGCCGGAGCCCCUUCGCGGCUCCGCCCUUUCUUCUUUUUCGAAACAGGCCGUCGUCUGUUUUCUUUUUUUUUGGUUUUAAACUGAUGAAGUCGGCAACCCAGUUGCCGACUUCAGAGAUUUUUUCUAAAAAAUUCAAAAAUCGUGAAGGCGGCAAACUAUUUGCCGGCUUCACUUGAAACUACAUUUUUUAAAAAAACUUGCGAAACAGUGGUGUCUCCCCUGUUUCACGCCUGUGGCAUUGCGUACGUGGACUGCGCCCUUCGGCGGUCAUGGUGGCCAGUCGGAGGCCAUCCGGCAGCCCCGCCGGCUCCUUCCCUUUUUUUUUCCUCUCUCUUUAUUUCUCUUUUUUCUCUUUUUCCUCUUUUUCUUCUUUCGGUUCGGGUCUGCUUGCCUUCGUCAGUUCUCCUCGGUUCAGUAUGGUACGAAACUGUACCGUCAGUCAGUGAUACGGCCGACGGUACCGGCUCAGCAUAUCUUGGCUUGAACUCUAUAUGGGGUAUUCUGAUGGGAGUUAAAGCUAAGGCUGAACAACUUAAUAGACUUGAAUAGGAUGACUUGGAGGCCACUACCUCAUCUCAAUCUAGAGUUUGCUUCAGCUUAUUGUUUAAGGUUAAGCUUGACAUCUGGUCAUCUUAUUUUCAUAGAUGGAUGAAGAGGAGCAUUGUAAUUGAAAAAAGGAAGCUGGGCUCUUCACUCUUCAGGCAAGCACUAUGUUGUGAUAGUGUAAUGUUGUUAUUUUUCUCCAAGAUUUCAUUCACUUUACAUUUCACAUUUUUUCCUAUUUUAUUAUUGAGUGAGCCUUUUUUUUUUUUAAUUUCCAGUUGAUUGCACUUAUUCUUGGCCAUCACUGGUGUUCUAACUAGAGCUCAAUUAACUUCUGUUUAAUUAAUCGAUUCUGAAUCAAUGGCCUUGACUUUUGAUUUUAGAUGGUUGUUAUGGUGUUCUAAGUAGAGCUCAAGCAACUUCUGUUUAAUUAAUUGAUUCUAAAUCAAUGGCCUUGAGUUUUGAUUUUAGAUGGUCGUUAUGUAUGCACCCACGGGCCACGGAUGAGGCCUAGAAUAGAACUAUUACUUAGACAACAGAAGUUGAUGAGGAAAGAUGGGAACUGUGAAGGAUAUACUUAAGGUAUGCAUUAUUAAGAAACGUUUUUCUUUUUUUCUCCCAGUCAUGUUGCACUAUCAGAACUAAACUGGUUCUUAUAUCUCAAUCCUUUAGGACUAUAACAGUGUCAAUUUGUUUUCUGAAGUGAGGACUCUUAGUGCCUGAUUGAACUUCAGCUUUACUCUGUAUUAUUUGAGUGAAAUGUAUAGAACUGUAGGUUGCUAUUUGAGAACCUAAUGGAAUAAUUUGCAACUCACUGUAGUGUUAGAUGUGUUUCUUUUGUUAUUAUUGAGCUCGGGUUUAAAUGUUGGUACAAACUCCUAUUCCAGUUUGGUGUUGGUUCGGUAUUUGAUAUUGGGGUGGAUCCAGAUGGUUCUGAUGGACUGACACAGUCAUUAACAACCCGAAUGAAAAGAAAAAA
Molecule: non-coding RNA, 2937 nt
Organism: Elaeis guineensis (African oil palm)
Lineage: Eukaryota; Viridiplantae; Streptophyta; Magnoliopsida; Arecales; Arecaceae
Source: RefSeq, a predicted model, not a curated record